RNAcentral lists this long non-coding RNA (433 nucleotides) under Hordeum vulgare. RNAcentral's name for it is "long non-coding RNA (HVUL_LNC007259)". The record is from RNAcentral. Lineage: Eukaryota; Viridiplantae; Streptophyta; Magnoliopsida; Poales; Poaceae.
GAAGAUCAAACACAAAGAUUGACACGGUGAUUUUUGGCAUGGUUCCGAUAGGUGGUGCUAUCGUAUGUCAAUGUUAGUGGAGACUUCAACCCACGAAGGGUAACAGAUGCGAGAGUCCACGGAGGGCUCCGCCCAUAAGGGGUCCACGAAGAAGCGGCCUUGUCUAUUCCAUCACGACUUCCGUCCACACAGGACUAGCCUCACUCAUGACAGAUCAUCAUGAAGUAGGCGAUCUCCUUGCCCUUACAUACUUCUUGGUUCAACUCCACAACAUGAAGUAGGAGGCUCCGAAGCGACACCUAACCAAUCAAGAAGGCACCACCCUCGAAAAGUUAAUGAAUAUGGUAGAACGAUGAACUCCUUGCUCUUGUGCUUCAAAAGAUAGUCUACUCACCCUUGGCCGCACCCCGCAACACGCCUUCGCUCUUCACCC